UACAGAGGGGGCAAGCGUUGUUCGGAAUUACUGGGCGUAAAGGGCGCGUAGGCGGCCUGCUAAGUCGAACGUGAAAUCCCUGGGCUCAACCCAGGAACUGCGUCCGAUACUGGUUGGCUUGAAUCCGGGAGAGGGAUGUGGAAUUCCAGGUGUAGCGGUGAAAUGCGUAGAUAUCUGGAGGAACACCGGUGGCGAAGGCGGCAUCCUGGACCAAUUCUGACGCUGAGGCACGAAAGCGUGGGGAGCAAACAGG
This 253-nucleotide ribosomal RNA is filed under the name uncultured bacterium. RNAcentral describes it as "partial 16S ribosomal RNA". It matches the Rfam family "Bacterial small subunit ribosomal RNA", at positions 524 to 776 of the family's 1533-position model. The record is from RNAcentral.